UUCUUCACUUUCAAGAGUGGCAAAGUCUUUCCAUAUGUAUGUAUGUAUGUUACACAUAUGGAAAGACUUCACCACUCUUGAAAGUGAAAGAG
MicroRNA precursor from Callithrix jacchus (white-tufted-ear marmoset), 92 nucleotides. Ensembl annotates it as cja-mir-3688. The record is from Ensembl. Lineage: Eukaryota; Metazoa; Chordata; Mammalia; Primates; Cebidae.